This 447-nucleotide long non-coding RNA is filed under the name Elaeis guineensis (African oil palm). Its description in RNAcentral is "long non-coding RNA (EGUI_LNC072330)". The record is from RNAcentral. Lineage: Eukaryota; Viridiplantae; Streptophyta; Magnoliopsida; Arecales; Arecaceae.
ACGACCAAAUGAUAGGCUGUUAAUAAGGACGACAGCUUCUAUCGAGUAUAGGUCGCUGUAGGCCAUAUGGGUUGGUUGUCCUCUUAACCAAGGAGUGUGGAGACACUAGUAUGGCAUACAGAUGAGAUGUAAGGGUACAUCAUCAUGGAACGUGACCAACUUCAGAGUAUUCUGCUGUCGAGAAUGUCUCUGAUGGGAUAUAGGUAUAAGUAUCCCUUAGACUUGAGAUCGUCUCAGUGACUUGCAAGCAACUCACUGUGCUUUGGUACUGGACUAACUGAAUUUCUAAUUCAGUGAUGGAAGGCUUUUGGGCACAGUCAAGUACUUACAAAGUCAGAGUGUGAUCGAGAUGGGAUUGAUCACUCCAAGAGUUGGAGAAGAAUGAGUUGUUGUAUUUCAAUUUAGCAAAACCUUGGUCAGGAUAAUCCAUCAGAUGGAUUUGAUAUU